AUUGAACGCUGGCGGCAGGCUUAACACAUGCAAGUCGAGCGGGGUGAUGGUGCUUGCACUAUCACUUAGCGGCGGACGGGUGAGUAAUGCUUAGGAAUCUGCCUAUUAGUGGGGGACAACAUCUCGAAAGGGAUGCUAAUACCGCAUACGUCCUACGGGAGAAAGCAGGGGAUCACUUGUGACCUUGCGCUAAUAGGUGAGCCUAAGUCGGAUUAGCUAGUUGGUGGGGUAAAGGCCUACCAAGGCGACGAUCUGUAGCGGGUCUGAGGGGAUGAUCCGCCACACUGGGACUGAGACACGGCCCAGACUCCUACGGGAGGCAGCAGUGGGGAAUAUUGGACAAUGGGGGGAACCCUGAUCCAGCCAUGCCGCGUGUGUGAAGAAGGCCUUAUGGUUGUAAAGCACUUUAAGCGAGGAGGAGGCUCUUUUGGUUAAUACCCAAGAUGAGUGGACGUUACUCGCAGAAUAAGCACCGGCUAACUCUGUGCCAGCAGCCGCGGUAA
This 503-nucleotide ribosomal RNA is filed under the name uncultured bacterium. RNAcentral's name for it is "partial 16S ribosomal RNA". It matches the Rfam family "Bacterial small subunit ribosomal RNA", at positions 30 to 523 of the family's 1533-position model. The record is from RNAcentral.